This 253-nucleotide ribosomal RNA is filed under the name uncultured bacterium. Its description in RNAcentral is "partial 16S ribosomal RNA". It matches the Rfam family "Bacterial small subunit ribosomal RNA", at positions 524 to 776 of the family's 1533-position model. The record is from RNAcentral.
UACGUAGGGCGCAAGCGUUAUCCGGAAUUAUUGGGCGUAAAGAGCUCGUAGGCGGUUUGUCGCGUCUGCCGUGAAAGUCCGGGGCUCAACUCCGGAUCUGCGGUGGGUACGGGCAGACUAGAGUGAUGUAGGGGAGACUGGAAUUCAUGGUGUAGCAGUGAAAUGCGUAGAUAUCGUGGAGAACACCCGUGGCGAAGGCGGGCUUCUGGCUAAUAACUGACGCUGAGGUGCGAAAGCUAGGGGAGCGAACGGG